Molecule: ribosomal RNA, 465 nt
Filed under: uncultured bacterium
Lineage: Bacteria
Description: partial 16S ribosomal RNA
Rfam family: Bacterial small subunit ribosomal RNA
Source: RNAcentral
GACGAACGCUGGCGGCGUGCUUAACACAUGCAAGUCGAACGGAAAGGCCCCUUUGGGGGUCCUCGAGUGGCGACCGGGUGCGUAACACGUAAGUAACCUUCCCUUGACUUCGGGAUAACUUCAGGAAACUGGGGCUAAUACCGUAUAGGAAUCCUUGCUGCAUGGUGGGGGUUGGAAAGCUUCGGCGGAUUUUGAUGGACUCGCGGCUUAUCAGCUUGUUGGUGGGGUAGUGGCUUACCAAGGCUUUGACGGGUAGCCGGCCUGAGAGGGCGACCGGCCACAUUGGGACCUGGAGUCGGCCCAGACUCCUACGGGAGGCAGCAGGGGGGAAUAUUGCAACACGGGCGGACGCCUGAUGCAGUAACGCCGCGGGCGGGAUGACGGCCGUCGGGUGGAAAACCGCUUUCAGCAGGGGCGAAGCUUGUGGUGACGGUGCCUUCAGAAGAAGCAACGGCUAACUACGUG